GUCUUUUUGAUAAUAAUUUAAAGUUUAAUCUGCCCACUGAUAUAAAUUAAAGGGCUGCAGUAUUUUGACUGUACAAAGGUAGCAUAAUCAAUAGUUUUUUAAUUGAAAACUUGUAUGAAAGAUUUAAUGAAAUAAUAACUGUCUUUAAAUUAUAAAUAAAAUUUUAUUUUUUAGUGAAAAAGCUAAAAUAUAUUUAAAAGACGAGAAGACCCUAUAGAGUUUUAUAUUUAUUAUAUUUAAAAUUUUAUAUAAAAUUUAAUAUUAAAAGUAAAAUAAAUAUUAUAUUGGGGUGAUAGAAAAAUUUAAAAAACUUUUUAUAAAAUAUAAACAAAUAUAAUUGAGUGAAUGAUCCACAAAUAGUGAUUAUAAGAAAAAAUUACCUUAGGGAUAACAGCGUAAUAUUUUUUUUUAGAUCAAAUAAAAAAAAAAGUUUGCGACCUCGAUGUUGGAUUAAGAUAAAAUUUAAACGCAAAAGUUUAAAAUUUUGAUCUGUUCGAUCAUUAAAAUCUU
This 510-nucleotide ribosomal RNA is filed under the name Faunis aerope. RNAcentral's name for it is "partial 16S ribosomal RNA". The record is from RNAcentral. Lineage: Eukaryota; Metazoa; Arthropoda; Insecta; Lepidoptera; Nymphalidae.